UACGGAGGGGGCAAGCGGUAUCCGGAAUCACUGGGUUUAAAGGGUGCGUAGGCGGCUAAAUAAGUCAGAGGUGAAAGCUUGCAGCUUAACUGCGAAAUUGGCUUUGAUACUGUAUAGCUUGAAAGGAGCUGAGGUCAGCAGAAUGUGGCAUGUAGCGGUGAAAUGCAUAGAUAUGCCAUAGAAUACCAAUUGCGAAGGCAGCUGGCUGGGCUUACUUUGACGCUGAGGCACGAAAGCGUGGGGAUCGAACAGG
This 253-nucleotide ribosomal RNA is filed under the name uncultured bacterium. Its description in RNAcentral is "partial 16S ribosomal RNA". It matches the Rfam family "Bacterial small subunit ribosomal RNA", at positions 524 to 776 of the family's 1533-position model. The record is from RNAcentral.